CUCCAGCUCUAUACCCACCUU
This 21-nucleotide non-coding RNA is filed under the name Arabidopsis thaliana (thale cress). Lineage: Eukaryota; Viridiplantae; Streptophyta; Magnoliopsida; Brassicales; Brassicaceae. The record is from RNAcentral.